UUAGCUUUGAUAUGUCUGGUAUUCUUGGGUUCAGUGAUAACCAGAACUAUUAGACAUAUCGAAGAUCGA
Molecule: non-coding RNA, 69 nt
Organism: Haemonchus placei
Lineage: Eukaryota; Metazoa; Nematoda; Chromadorea; Rhabditida; Trichostrongylidae
Source: Rfam